Molecule: ribosomal RNA, 277 nt
Filed under: uncultured eukaryote
Lineage: Eukaryota
Description: partial 18S ribosomal RNA
Rfam family: Eukaryotic small subunit ribosomal RNA
Source: RNAcentral
UAGUCAUAUGCUUGUCUCAAAGAUUAAGCCAUGCAUGUCUAAGUAUAAGCAACUUAUACGGCGAAACUGCAGAUGGCUCCUUAAAUCAGUUAUAGUUUAUUUGAUGAUACCUUACUACAUGGAUACCCGUAGUAAUUCUAGAGCUAAUACAUGCGUAAACGGUCCUCCGCAAGGGGGCCAGUAUUUAUUAGAUAAAAAACCAUCUGGGGCAACCCAUUUUCUGGUGAAUCAUAAUAACUUUUCGAAUCGCAUGCUCUCGUAGCGGCGAUACGUCUUG